AACGAACGCUGGCGGCAGGCCUAACACAUGCAAGUCGAGCGCGCCCUUCGGGUGAGCGGCGGACGGGUUAGUAACGCGUGGGAAUAUGCCCAAAGGUACGGAAUAGCCUCUGGAAACGGAGAGUAAUACCCUAUGUGCCCUUCGGGGAAAGAUUUAUCGCCUUUGGAUUAGCCCGCGUUAGAUUAGGUAGUUGGUGGGUAAUGGCCUACCAAGCCUACGAUCCAUAGCUGGUUUGAGAGGAUGGAUCAGCAACACUGGGACUGAGACACGGCCCAGACUCCUACGGGAGGCAGCAGUGGGAAUCUUGGACAAUGGGCGCAAGCCUGAUCCAGCCAUGCCGCGUGAGUGAUGAAGCCCUAGGGUCUAAAGCUCUUCGCCAGGGAUGAUAAUGACAGUACCUGGUAAAGAACCCCGGCU
Molecule: ribosomal RNA, 417 nt
Filed under: uncultured bacterium
Lineage: Bacteria
Description: bacterial SSU rRNA
Rfam family: Bacterial small subunit ribosomal RNA
Source: RNAcentral